UAGUAGUUGCAAGGCCUGUGAGUCUGGAGAAGAGAGAAAUUUCCCCUGGAGAGACACUGAUGUCACUUCCUGUAUGAAUGGCUACAACUUCCUGUUUUCCAAAUACCUGUUUGGAAAUGUAAAGAUCCUAUUAGCCUCGUAUGUUUGUUCUCGCCGGCUCACACAAUCCAGGGACCCACAAGGGAAACUGACUCCCAUGAAACCCUACUCCUACAUGAUAUAAGUAACCAUUAUUUACAAUUGGGAAAAAAAGGAUUUUCAGAAGGGUCGGAAUGAGCUGAUGGGGCACCUGGAGACAACCUGGUGGGCCCAUCGGCCCAGCACCACUACCUCGCCAGGAUCUGUGGGCCCCUGAUCAUAUUAGAGUGAAGGAGAGAGGAGGUAGGUGGAAACUUGCACAGGGUGUUGUGGGGGAGUUUGUGACUGGGGUGAGGGUGGUGGGCCAUGGACACCUCCGACUGACACUAUUUUCCAUCAUUAUUUAGUGAUUUAUUAUUAAUUAUUGUAGAUAUAAUGGUUAAAAUUACAUUUUCGUCACUUUUUAAUGGUCUAAUGAUAGAAUUGUGGGAAGUGGGGACAUGUUUUGAGAAACCAGAAUUGUAAGAUAUGGGGCAAUUAUCUAAUCUAAUGUAAUAAGCCAAGAGAAUAUAUGUACAUUUGUGUUUGUUUGUGGGGACUCCAAAGAAUUUUUCAUAAGAAUGCACUCUGAUACCAUAGAAAACAUUCCAAAUAUCAAUGCUAGGUUGGCCAGUGGCAGAACUGGCAUUUCAUUGGGGGUUACUGGUGAGCCUACAACACAAUGAAUUUGGCAGUUAUUAUUACAGGUUGUGUUUGUUAUUAAAUGCAAAGCAAUGUCCAAUAAUGCAGCACAAAAUAAGACACUCCUCCAUAAAGUCCCAUGGCCUCGCUAGAACUGUUUUUAUUACCUAUUCUUUCAUUAUGCACUCCAUAUAGCACAAUAUAAAAGCAAGUGGGAGAAGAAAGAGGUCAGUGCAAAGGAGCCCAAACUUGGGAGCGUGUGAUUGAGGAUGAUUAAUGGUUUAGUUGUGUGCUUCAGAUGCAAGUACUUUAGAGAGAAGCAGUCGUUAAUGUGUGAUGGUGCAGUGUGCAUACUGAAGAAGCUUGGUGGAAAUAAAUCUCCCACUCUGAUUGCCUACCAUUAGAUGGGGCAUGGACUGUGUGUGUGUAAAUAGACUGGGCUUGCUUGGAAUAUCACAGCAUAUGCAAUGGUUUAGGGACAACUGCCAUCAAUCUUAGGGCUCCAAUGGUGAAUUGUUAUUCCUGAAAUGUCAUUUCAUUUAUUGCAACUAGUAUGAGCAAUUCCAAACCUGUUUGUAAUACAUCUGCCUCUAGGAAAUGUGACACUGUUUCUAAUAAGGAUUCAGGCAUACCUUGAUAAUUACAUACAGUGCUUUGCUAUUUCUAAAUUAUUACCCUGGUGCAAUUUAGCAUGUGUUAAUAAACCAGCCCUACUGUUGGACCUACACACCUAUUCUCUGUUGUUACUGCUUUAAAAUGCUGUGGGCAUAUUCCGUUUGUGCUAUGUACCCAUUCCCCAACAGGGUAUUGACUAAGGUGUACAUAACAAUGGAAAACCUUUGCAAUCUUCUCUUUGUAAUGAACAUGAUUUUUAUUUUUAAUAAGUGUUAGAUGAAAGCAGCUUUAUUACUCAAGAAACAAGAUACAGCUUGUUCUUUGAUAAAUAAGAGUGAUUUUUGUUUUUAUAGAGAAAUGUAACUUGCUCUUAUUGUAACAUGCAUUUAGUAAUGUACACUC
Xenopus tropicalis (tropical clawed frog) is the source of this 1776-nucleotide long non-coding RNA. RefSeq lists it as uncharacterized. The record is from RefSeq and is a predicted model, not a curated record. The transcript is spliced from 4 exons. Lineage: Eukaryota; Metazoa; Chordata; Amphibia; Anura; Pipidae.